CGAAACUUCAUUGAGGAACUCAUCGAAUCUACGAACUCGAGAGCGCAAUUAUUGAAAACAAGAGAUUUGUUAAGGAGAAGGUAUUUAAUUGAAAAGAAGGGAUUUUACUCCUGAAAGCAAAUGCAUCGGAAACAAUCAAACAACGCUAGCAAUAAAAGGCGCUUGAUUUUGCAAUAUUUCAUCAGUUCUUCAAAAGAAAUAACAUGAACAAGUCAGCGCUUCUACUUUUGCUUCUCAUCGGACUUCUCGUCCUCACUGAAACUACCACUGCUUUUUGGCCUCGUCGUCGUCGUGGUACCCACUAUAACCAAGAGGAAAUGCCACAAAUGAACGAAAUUCCAGACCUGGAGUUCGAGGAUCUUGGUUCUAAGAUGAGAUUAUAAUAAGGUUUCCGCUUAAGCUGCAAAAGUACAAUAUUAAUAAAUUGAACAUCAGCAAAUA
This is a non-coding RNA of Ciona intestinalis (vase tunicate), 441 nucleotides long. The record is from RefSeq and is a predicted model, not a curated record. NCBI's taxonomy places the organism in Eukaryota, Metazoa, Chordata, Ascidiacea, Phlebobranchia, Cionidae.